Physeter macrocephalus (sperm whale) is the source of this 9265-nucleotide long non-coding RNA. RefSeq lists it as uncharacterized. The transcript is spliced from 5 exons. The record is from RefSeq and is a predicted model, not a curated record. Lineage: Eukaryota; Metazoa; Chordata; Mammalia; Artiodactyla; Physeteridae.
AAGACUUUCUCCUCUCGAGUCAUACUGUCUUCGGAUACCUCGGGAUGCAUUUUAGUCCCUAUGCGCCACUUGGGGGCCGGCCCUCACCUGCAAAUCGGCUGACCCUGAACGACCCUCAUUUGCUGUGUACCGGAAGUGCUUGGCCUUCUUGGCGGCUGUUCCCCGGAAGUGGUUUCCCUCCCCCUCAGCCUCGGGGCGGUCCAGCUGUCCCUGUAAGGGCGGGGACUGGGGGCUGCCUUGGGAUUGAAUGCCCCGCAGCUUUUGGAAGCCUACCUCAGAUAUUUGCUUAAGCAUUGUUGGAAAGGCCGCACUAUGGCUUUGGGCAGCGUUCACAUCCUUAGCCCGCCUUAAGCUGUGUGGCCUUGGGUGGGUUAUAUGACCUCUCAGAGCUUCCAGGUAACUUCUAUGCAAAAUGGGAUGGUAAAAUCCGAGUUGGUGCUAAAUCGUAACGUUCAUGCUGCAUAGCAGGACUUCAGCAGACCAGCCUGUGUCGUCUGGUAGCACCACUGGCUCUGGGUAGAUCUGAGAAGCAGCUUUCUAAGGCGGCCCACUCGGCUUGCAUUCCCGCCCGGAUUCAAAGGACUGACAAUUCCUUCUCUCCCUCAACAAGGUCUUCCCUGUCUAAUCCUAACAAGCAAGCCUUAAAGAAUUGCAGAGUUUCUGGUUGAAGGUUCUCCAGGCCCCCUUGUUUAAGGACAGAUUUACUCUCACUGAAGUACAGAAGAGAAUCCGAAAAACGCAAGUGUCUCUACCUUAAGCAGGAGAGGGAGUGGGUGGGAGCUCCCCAGAUGGCCUUUACCUCGGACUUUUUUCUUUCUCCCUCAUUUGGGAUGCUAGUGACCUGGGCUCUGGCCCACAACACUUUCUGUAAGCAAGAACCCUGGAUGUCAUGACUAAGGAAGAGAUCUCGUGUUUAUUCUUCAUGAGGAAUCUUAGUUCCCAGACCAGGGAUCAAACCUCUGCCCCCUGCGUUGGGAGCAUGGAGUCAUAACCACUGGACAACCAGGGAAGUCCCUUGGGAGAUCUGCUCUCUCUGCUUCUCAAGGUGCACGUGACCAAACGUGGGAGCCCCUCGGUUCAGCCAAACGGCACAAAGAAUCGCCUCCCUUUCCUUCUAGGCUGCAUGUCCGGUAGAGAGAAUAUAUGAUUGGCCAAAUGUGUAUCAGGAUCCAUCCCUGGUCCAAGCAGUGAGGAGUGGCGCGGGAUGGGUGCCAAGGCCUGGAGGCCCGUGGGCUGGACAGAUACUCCUGACACUUUCUGCUGCACCUUUGCACUGGAUUAAAUGUCCUGUGCAUGAAGAAUAAUCAUAAUUAAAAGUAAUCAGGAGCUCUUCCGUGAGGUGAGACUCGUUUGAACAAGAAAGGUGGCUGCCAAAGCACACUGAACAUGCCUCGGGUAUUCAGGAUGCCGAAACCGUCGUGCUCAUCAGAGUCCAUUCUGGGUUAAUCCGAUCAGUGCGGAAUGUCUUACCGCACGGAGAUGUCCAAAGCUUCGUGAUACGCUUUCUGGAAUGGUGGGAUUACGAGACCAACCAAGGAUGACCUGAUGAAACGAUUUUAAGAAGCCCUAGAAAAUUCUGGCUCAUUACCUGGGUGAAAAUCACUGCACACAUAACAAUGAACGUUAAUUGCCGAGUCCCUUGUCACCUGCUUAGAAUGCUCAUCUGCGACAGCUCAGUUGUCACCCCCAAAAUGAGAGAACUCUGAGCCUUCCUGAGUCCGUUAGGCUUUCAAUGUGCUUUUCUUACCUAAAGGUAUCUGUUUCUGAGCAUUGCAUCACCUACGUGGCAAAAAAAAAAGAAAAAAAAAAAAAAGCUGUAUAUGGAGUUGGACUCCUGAACAGAGAGGUGCUUUUUAUAAUACCAAGCAGCUACUGAUUUUCCUGUGUGCACUCAAGGGAGCAUAAACCACCUGGCUGAGCUGAGUUGUGCCUAUCCAUCAGGCAUCAGACGGCCCCCAGACACCAGCUUUGCUCACUAAUCAAAAGCAAUGUUGUCGAUGUACCAGGUUAAUGCACAGAUUGAUAAAGUUAUGCAGUUAUCGUGGGACUAGGGAAGUUUCAUAACCAUGCCAGGUUCUACACUUCUACAAUUCAUCGUGUUUACGGACCACUUUGGUUAUUUUUCUCCAAGGAUGAAUCAGUGCCUUUAAUCUUGUUAUCAUCUAUACAUCACUGAGGUAUUUUGCUCUGUGCUCCUACCUGUUUACAAGAUUAAUGAAGCUCUUCCUUUGGCUCUCAAACCAGCAUAUGAUGUAAGAACCAACUGGCAACUUCCAACUCCUGGGAACCCCACACACAGCUAGCUCUCUGACAUCCAAACCAUCAACAUUUUAAGAAAACUAAUAGGGAUUUGGAACUAUGUUGCUGUCCCCAAACCAUAUGGUAGUGGAAAAUUUCCCUGAAGUUAGCCCUGGGCUUGGUGGCAGGGUUGACCACCACACCUGGCCUUUCUUCAGAGGUCUUUUCUCUGCCUUUCUGCUUGAAGGGUCGGGGCUUGAUUAUCUACUGUCCUCCACUGUCCCCUUGAAAGGAAAUCUUUCAAAUAACCCACUUCACAAUUUACCACGAGCAGUGAAUUUUUAAUAUGACUUGCAUAAUGGUGAUUAUAUAUUUCUGUUUCUCGAAAAACAGGAGAGACUUUAAAAUAUGAUAACCUUGGACAAGCAGUGUGAUUUUUUAACAAGAAUAUGUUAUGUGUGGGACUUCCCUGGUGGUCCAGUGGUAAAGAAUCCGCAUUCCAACGCAGGGGACAUGGGUUCAAUCCCUGGCCGGGGAACUAAGAUCCAGCAUGCCGCAGGGCAGCUAAGCCCACGUAUCACAACUACUGAGCCCACACGCUCUGGAGUCUGUGCGCCACAGCUAGAGAGAGAAAACCUGCACGCCACAACUAGAGAGAAGCCCGCGUGCCGUAAUGAAGAGCCCUGGCGCCAUCAUGAAAGAUCCUGCAUGCCGCACCUGAGACCCAAUGCAGCCCAAAUAAUAAUAAUAAUAAAUGAAAUAAAUAUUAAAAAAAGAUUAUGUUAUGCAUAAGCUGCAGUGAAAGAAUAUUUAAUUGUCUAAUACAUUUCAUCUUAAUAUUGUUUGUUCCAUUAUUUUUAUAUUUUGGUGGUUCUUCAUAUUUUUUAGUCUAAAAAAAAAGAUGUAUUUUAGGAGUAGGUGGCUCUGACAUCCAGUUCUAAUUUUCCAAAUAGACAUUUCUGAGGUGAUUUUUCUAAAAAGUCACAUUUUGGCUUUUGCACAAGCAAUUGAGUUACACUUCCCAGGAAUAAAACUUUUUUUCAAUAAAAUUUACACUCUAAUAUCCCUGAUAUGAUGAAUUUCAGAUUUCAAAAUAAUGAGGAAAUAAGUAUACUAAAUUAAUUUCAAGAAGCGUUACUUUUAGCACUUCCUGCUGCUCUGGCGAUAGCAAAAGCACAUACCUUUCCAUAGUGGAGAACUCGUUAGAAUCAAUUUUUUAAGUGGCUUGAUGGGGAGUCUACGGUGACUGCAAGACCCAAGAAUUUGUUUCUUCGGCCUUUUAAUAAGAUUCUAGUAGAGAUGUGGCUUACUAUUUCUAGGCAACUUGUUCCUCACAAUAAUAGUGAAUAUUCUUUUGUGUUUCAUAGACCUGUGUGUUCUGCUGAGUUCAAGAUUUCAGGUAGAGCCAAAUAAAAGCUGUUGCAGUAGUUGGUGACUCACUAGGGCUAUUGUUUUGUCCUUGUCCACACUGUCAAGAAGCAGUCAUAGCCUCUUCAAAUCAGGGUGCUGCCCACACUCCAUGCAGGUGCUGCAGCCCGUCUCUGGCCUGGUGUCUGAGUUUAUUGCUGUCCUUCUCUGGGCAGAAGGUCCACCGGCUUUCAAAUCCCAUUAAACUCAAAGUCAUAAGGAGAGCAAAAUGUUGUGACUGUAAAUACAGCUUCUCUUUCAUAUCUAUCCAGGUAUUUCUGUUACACUUGGCGGAAUCUCUGUCAGUUGAAACUUGUAGAGUACAGAUGGCAGACAAGCAUAUGUCAUCAGGGAAAUGCAAAUUCAAACAGUAAUGAGAUAGCACUACACAACGUUAACAUGGUGGAAAUCCAAGACACUGACAGCACCAAAUGUUGAUGAGGAAGUGGAGCAACAGGAACUCUCGUCCAUUGCUGGUGGGAAUGCAAGAUGGUGCAGCCAGCUCAGAAGACAGUUUGGUGGUUUCUUACAAAACAACAUGCUCUCAUCAUACAGUCCAGCAAGUGUGCUCCUUGUGUCUAUCCUAAGGUAGACAUCCACACAAAAACCUGCACGUGGGUCUUUGUAGCAGCUGUAUUCAUAAUUGCCAAAACCUGGAUGCAACCAAGAUAUCCUUCAGUAGGUGAACGGAUACAUAGACUGUGGUGUAUCCAGGCAGUGGAAUGUUAUUCAAUGCCAAAAAGAGAUGCGCUAUCAAACUAUGAAAAACGUGGAAGACCCUUAAAUGCAUGUUACAAAGUGAAAGAAGCCCAUCUGAAAAGGCUACAUACUGUAUGAUUCCACCUAGAGGACAUUCUGGAAAAGGAAAAACUGUGGCUACGGUAAAAAGAUCACUGGUUGCCAAGGGUUGGGGCUGGGGAGGUGGCGCGGGAGGGAUGGAUAAACAGAGCACAGAGGAAGUUUAGGGCAGUGAAAAUACUCUUAAUGAUACUAUAAUGGUGGAGACGUCCACACCCACAGAAUAUACAACACCAAGAGUGAGCCCUAACGUACUAUGGAUUUGGGUGAUAAUGCCGUGUCAGUGUAGGUUCAUCGACUGAAAUCAGUCACCUCUCUGGUUGAUAAUGGAGGAGACUCUACAUCUGCAGGGGCCGAAUGUACAUAUGAAAUCUCUGUACCUUCUUCUCAAAUAUACUGUGAGCCUAAAACUGCUCUCAAAAAAAUAGUCCAUAAAAACAAAAACAAAACUAGUAGAGUAGUCACAGUUUGGUGUGGAAUGUCGGAUGAUUUUAAGAGGUUGGAGCCUUAAUUGAUUAUCUUUAAAUGCAGUUUAAUCCUCUGGUUGUUGUAAAAUUAAAAAUACCCUGUGUUCCUCUCUCUUGGUUUACUGCAUAGUUUCUUUGCAGACAUUCUGGCUCUAGGCCCGUGUUUGGGUUAUUUUAUGAAUCUACCGGUGUGUCCUAGAUCCAGAAACAUGCUUCCUGCCGGUACCUUCCAGGCUCCAUGCCUUGCCUUUCCCUGGGGUUGCUUUGAAACCGUCUGAGUCAGUGCCUUUCUGUGUCCUGGCACGGGUCUCCCUGGAUGCUACACCCUGCCAGGCACCUCAACAUGAAUUUUUACUCCAGAAUCCACAGGAACCCAUAUUUCCAUCUUUCUGUGCAAAUGUGUGGCGUUUUAAUAAUUUUAGAAACAGUUUACUAAGUACCCACUACGAGCUAGAUACUGCACUCAACCCUAGACAUCACAGUAUCGUGUGUUCUGCGCAACAACCUGGACAAGAGGUGGGCAGUUAUUUUAUCCCUUGUGAGAUCAGGAACCUAAAGUUUACGAGUGUUCAGUAACUUUCCCAAGGUUAUACGGCUGAGAAUUGGACCAGCCUAAACCAAAGAGCUGUGUGAUCCCAAAGCCCGCACUUUUAACCACCACGAUGCGUCUGAGCUGAGCACUUUGCUUCCGUCACUGGCUUUCUGCCACGUCUAGUGGGGUCUAAGCCGUCUCAGACCCCGGCCCUGUUUGCAGCAGCGUCCCGUGCUUCUGUGUGUGCGCGCUCCGUUUCAGAGCACUCCGUUUGCUCCUGUUCCUCCAUCCGUGUUCUUCCAUUCAGGCCUUAUUCGCACACGUGGUUCCCUCGGUUGUACCGCCUGCUUCCCCCUCCUCUGCCUGUCUUGUUCCCUCCUCACCCCAGGCGCCCGCUGCAGACCUCACCCGUCACACGUGACGCUUCCUCUGCCGUCGCCUGCUAAGCUAGCUUCAUCGCUCUGAGCUCUCUUCUGUGGCUUCAUGAGUCGAGUUGUGGUUUCUUUCUGGUGUGGCUCUGUGACACUCUGAGUUCCUUAUAGACCAGAUCACGUUUCCUUCCUCUGUGUAUCUCCAACACCACCCCCAGUGCUGAGACCUUGGUACUUACUGGUGUAAUAAAUACUUGCUCAAGUUACCCAUGUGAACAUUUCCUGCCGCUUUGCUCCCCCAGCCCUGGUUGACGCUAGUUCUUAAUGUCACAUCAUCAAAAUGUGAUGGCAUCUAAGAGUGUCUUUCUACUGCAUCUUCUCCACUGUCUUAAAAGUGAUCAACUCAGCAUCUCAUCACUUCUGGUAUAGAUGGUGCACAUCUUAUAGGCGACUUGCCUUCAGAGCUUUUGUUGAUACUAUCUUCCUUGUGUACAGACCCUUCAUCAAAUUCCAUGUGUCCUACUUUUCCAUCAGUGUCUGCCUUGGCACCCGUCUUUGCCCUGUGCGUUCUUGGGAAUGCUUCUUGGUGAUGCUUUUACCCUGUGGCAUGAUUUUACUGGCUUGGCCAUGAGACCUUAUUGUGUGUGGUCUCCUGUAUUCCCAGCAAGAUAGAAGAACCUUGAGAACCUUGAAACACCUGUCUUUUGCCCCUUGAUAUAGUUUUUUUUUCAGUGAUGGUGAUAUGCCUUGUGUUAGUCCAUCAGUAAGCUCCAGUAACUGUGUAUUCAGUAUCUGGAGUCAAUAGAAGGUCCGUUAUUCUCAUUCUCUCUCUCUCUCUGUCUCUCUCUCUCUGUCUCUCUCUCUCUCUCUCCCCCCACCCCUUUCCAUCCCUCCUUCCUUCCUCUUUUUAAGUGUUGAUCUCUGAUCUUCAAAUUACAGAUUAGAAAUAGAAAUUUAAAAAUAAAUAAAAAUUUUAAUUUAAAUAAAAAUAAUUAAAAGGUAGUAGUAAAUAAUACCUACCAGUAAUACAAGGAUAGCCAUUGGUGGGCACGUAUAAGAAGGGUCCCUCUUUUUGCCCCCCUCCAUGAUUCUGCAUCACUGUCUUUCUUCACUGGCACCCACGCAUGUGUCAAGUGCCUAAUCAGCUUACAUGCUCAGUUUUCAAGGAUCGUGAGUUUUGUUGUGCUUCUUCCUUUGCACAAACUGUUGACUUCACUGAGCAGGUCCUCCUCCCUCCUCUGUCCUGAUUGUUUGGAAUCUCCCCACCGGGUCUUUGGACCAGCUAAGACUCCCUUCCUUUGGGUUAGCAUCUCAAAUUGUGUCCUUCCUGGUUGAGGUGGACAGAGAUGCUCCCUCCCUCCUGUCUUCUUGAUCCACUAUUAUUACAUUUACCGACUGGCUCAUCACUGCUUAUUUACAUGACCAUAUUUAUGUAUAUCACUGUUUAUUUACAAACCGAGUUUGGAUUUUAUCUUGUUCCUCUUUGUGUCCGAAUACCAUGCGAGCUGCCUCGUCCAUCCUGGCCAGGAAGCAGUUACUGAAAGGUCCUUCCAACUGCAGAUACAUUUUAAAGACUUGAUUACUUAUCCAGCCUUGGGCUACCUUGUGAUGGAAAAGAAGUGACCUUCUUUCAUGAACAAUAAGCACAAACAUCAACAGCAAUAAUUUUUGCCUCAAUAAUUGAAUUACUUAUUUUUAGAAAAACCUUCCCAUUUUUAUGUGUCAAUGAAUUAGUGACUUUCACCCAAACCAUAAUGAGAGAGCUGGUAAUUUUCUUUAGGUAUGUGUUGGUAGAGUUUCAUUAGAAUGGGGUUAUAUAGCUCCUUAAAAAAGCAGGUGUUUUAGAGGGCCGUGGAGAGUUCUGCUUUCACCAAUUCCUGAGGGACAUGACUUUGUGGAAACACUAGGUUAGCUUUCCUGAGACUGCAGUGGACAUCUCAGUUUUGCUUUGCAUCUGGUGUAUGACCUGGGCGUGUCCCUCCAAGGUACAGUUCCCUCAUUUGUAAAAUAUAUCAUAAUUUUUGAUCUCAUCUCAUAAUUUUACAAGAUGAUUUAUAAACACGAAGUGAUAUAAAAACAUAAGGGUUUAAUAAUAUCUAGUUACUCAAACUUAACUUCACUGCGUUUUCCAAUAUAUAUACUUCAGCUGCUUAUUAUUAUUAUUAUUACAUUCUUAUUUCUUCUUUCUCUUCUAUUUCGUCUUUCCAUCUCCUCCUCCGCUUCUCCUCCUCCUACUUGUCUUUUCCAGGUGAUGUCUUCUUGUGACCCGUGCUCAUCUGGACGUGAGGUUUUUGCUCUAUAGUUCACUAAGAUGCUCCCUGCAAUAGGGGACUUUAGGAAUUUUAGUCAAAUACAUUUUUCUUUACAGAAGAAAGCUGAAAGGUAAAAGGAAAGGCAGCUCACAUUUACGGCCACCUCCCCGUCUCAGAAAGUGUUCCUGCUGCUUUCUGCUCCGUGAUUCACUUGGUCCCCUCAGCCCUUCAGGUGGACAGAGCUGGCUUCCGGUUGCAGGGAGGAACAUAGCCAGCGUGCUACCCAAAGCCCGUGCUGCAGGAGAAUUUAACGCAUGCCUAUGAUACAUUUCACCAUUUAGCAGCAUUUGGAGAGUAGUUUGGGGGCCCUGGCGGAAAAAAUAAAAAUCAAACUCAGUCUUCAUGGGUGGACGUCUUCCCCAAAUCUUUAUGUGGGAUUCCUACCGACACGUGACCUGGCUGCGCCCUCGGCUCUGUUCUGAACCAUUGGGUCCAAGUAUUUUAUUCUGGCUCCUUAUCUUGUUACUGUUGACAAGCUUAGUACUUAAUAUAAAUAACAAAAAAUUCUGCAGAGAGAAAAGUGUGGCUGACAGUGGGCACACUAAUUGAUCUUCUUUCCUUUUUCCUUUCUGUGUUGGAACUGACAUCUCCAUAGGAAAUAUUCUUCUGUCUAAAAGUAAAAGACCUCUAUUUAAUUUCCUUCAAGAUAGUGAAUUCUUUCCAAGGAAAUGCUGUUUUCUGUGGGGCCUUUUUUCUGUUCCUCCACCUUGCCACUGCUUUGUAAUUUACUUACUGUUCUCUUCUUUGAUGAGAACACUGCUUUGCCAUAUGUUUCCACCUUUGUUUUUCCUGCAAAUGCCUUUCGCCCCCUUUGUUUAAUUUCUCUGCAACAGGCGUGCUCUAAUACAUUUUCACAUGCGUCUCGUGGUUAUUUGAUUCCAGAUCUGCUCCUUGCGUCACGCAUGCACAGCCACAUGGGAAUUCUGUGGAAUGCCUGACACUGGUGAGGUUGGUUGACAACUCAACACUGGUUCCCACUUUUUUCCUAAGUGUUUCUGAAAACUCAUAAAAAACAAUCAUGUAUAGCAUCAUCUAUUUGUAUUUUUCUCCUUAAAAAGGUUUUUGUGUCUGUUUGAUAGGACACGUGUCCUUGUGAGUCAGUUUCUUGUGUUUAGGUCUUUCAUAACAUUUGUUUUGAAA